AACGAACGCUGGCGGCAUGCCUAACACAUGCAAGUCGAACGAGACCUUCGGGUCUAGUGGCGCACGGGUGUGUAACGCGUGGGAACCUUCCCUUAGGUUCGGAAUAACUCUCCGAAAGGGGUGCUAAUACCGGAUAAUGUCUUCGGACCAAAGAUUUAUCGCCCUUGGUUGGGCCCGCGUUGGAUUAGCUAGUUGGUAGGGUAAUAGCCUACCACGGCGACGAUCCAUAGCUGGUUAGAGAGGAUGAUCAGCCACACUGGGACUGGGAAACGGCCUAGACUCCUACGGAAGGGGGCAGUGGGGGAUAGAGGACAACGGGGUGAAGGCUGAACCAGCUAUGCCGGGUGAGUGCUGAAGGCCGUAGGGUUGUAAAGCUCUUUUAACCAGGAUGAUAAUGACAGUACCGGGAGAAUAAGCCCCGGCUAACUCCGUG
This 433-nucleotide ribosomal RNA is filed under the name uncultured bacterium. RNAcentral describes it as "partial 16S ribosomal RNA". It matches the Rfam family "Bacterial small subunit ribosomal RNA", at positions 29 to 507 of the family's 1533-position model. The record is from RNAcentral.